ACCCCUUUAGCUCAGCUGGAGAGAGUGCCGCGCUACGAACGCGGAGGCCGCAGGUUCGACUCCUGCAAGGGGUG
Molecule: transfer RNA, 74 nt
Filed under: Nocardioides immobilis
Lineage: Bacteria; Bacillati; Actinomycetota; Actinomycetes; Propionibacteriales; Nocardioidaceae
Rfam family: tRNA
About the family: Transfer RNA (tRNA) molecules are approximately 80 nucleotides in length.
Source: Rfam by way of RNAcentral